RNAcentral lists this long non-coding RNA (299 nucleotides) under Homo sapiens (human). Its description in RNAcentral is "HSALNT0292720". The record is from RNAcentral. Lineage: Eukaryota; Metazoa; Chordata; Mammalia; Primates; Hominidae.
GACGAGGUGGAGGUGGGUGAGGGAGGGAGGGACAGAGGUAAGAAACAGAUUAAAAGUGUCACUUCCGGCCAGGCGCUGUGGCUCACGCCUGUAAUCCCAACACUUUGGGAGGCCGAGGCGAGUGGAUCACCUGAGGUCAGGAGUUCGCGACCAGCCUGACCCACAUGGUGAAACCCCGUCUCUACUAAAGUUAGCCAGACGUGGUGGCCGGCGCCUGUGAUCUCAGCUACUCGGGAGGCUGAGGCAGGAGAAUCGCUUGUACCCGGGAGGCGAGGUUGCAGUGAGCCGAGAUCGCGCCA